Molecule: long non-coding RNA, 527 nt
Organism: Pseudopipra pipra
Lineage: Eukaryota; Metazoa; Chordata; Aves; Passeriformes; Pipridae
Exons: 3
Source: RefSeq, a predicted model, not a curated record
AAACCAAAAUAAAUCACUUUUUUCUUCUUUUUUUCUUUUAGAUGCUGGAAUUGCCUCUCUGGCUGUGUGCUGAGCUCUGGCUGCAGGGGACUGUCAGGCCUUGGUGGCUGUGAGUUCCUGUUCUUCUCCCUGGGAAACUGGAAAGAGUUAUUCAUUAGAUUGCAGAAAUGUAAUUUUGAGGGGACCCAGCAACUGUUUGUGUAGGAAAAGCCCGCAAUUCCAUGCCGAAUUCCUGCUGGAACAGCCUCCCAGUGCCUCCUGGAGCCCGGCUGUUCCCCCGCAGAGCUGCCGCUCUAACGCCAGGUUUGCCAGGAAGCAGCCACGGUUCCAGGUUUGCUCAGCGGGAUCGGGACAAGGACAGGUUGAUAUUCCACAGACUUUGCUGUUUAUAACCCUCCUCCCCCAGCCCCGCUGGUGUCCCUGGGGGGACUUGAGCGAGCUCCCUGGAAUUGGGCCGGUUUUCCGCCCGGGCCGGGCUCCAGGGGAUGCAGCCCCUGAGCACGGGCGAGGACGUCUGUCCGGGCGGG